CGGAACGAUACUAGCUUGCUAGUAGGCGUCGAGUGGCGGACGGGUGAGUAACGCGUAGGAAUCUACCUGAUAGUGGGGGAUAGCCCGAAGAAAUUCGGAUUAAUACCGCAUAAUCUAUUCGUAGUAAAGUGGGGGACUUUCGAGCCUCACGCUAUCAGAUGAGCCUGCGUAAGAUUAGCUAGUUGGUAGGGUAAAAGCCUACCAAGGCGACGAUCUUUAGCUGGUCUGAGAGGAUGAUCAGCCACAUCGGGACUGAGACACGGCCCGAACUCCUACGGGAGGCAGCAGUGGGGAAUAUUGGACAAUGGGGGCGACCCUGAUCCAGCAAUACCGCGUGUGUGAAGAAGGCCUGAGGGUUGUAAAGCACUUUCAAUUGUGAAGAAAAGCUAGUGGUUAAUAGCCAUUAGCCUUGACGUUAACUUUAGAAGAAGCACCGGCUAACUCCGUGCCAGCAGCCGCGGUAAUACGGAGGGUGCAAGCGUUAAUCGGAAUUACUGGGCGUAAAGCGUGCGUAGGCGGUUUAUUAAGUCAGAUGUGAAAGCCCCGGGCUUAACCUGGGAACUGCAUUUGAAACUGGUCAACUAGAGUUUUGGUAGAGGAAAGUGGAAUUUCUGGUGUAGCGGUGAAAUGCGUAGAUAUCAGAAGGAACAUCAAUGGCGAAGGCAACUUUCUGGACCAAUACUGACGCUGAGGUACGAAAGCGUGGGUAGCAAACAGGAUUAGAUACCCUGGUAGUCCACGCCGUAAACGAUGAUAACUAGCCGUUGGGGGGAUUUACCCUUAGUGGCGAAGCUAACGCGUUAAGUUAUCCGCUGGGGAGUACG
RNAcentral lists this ribosomal RNA (824 nucleotides) under uncultured Gammaproteobacteria bacterium. RNAcentral describes it as "bacterial SSU rRNA". It matches the Rfam family "Bacterial small subunit ribosomal RNA", at positions 67 to 884 of the family's 1533-position model. The record is from RNAcentral. Lineage: Bacteria; Pseudomonadati; Pseudomonadota; Gammaproteobacteria.